RNAcentral lists this transfer RNA (85 nucleotides) under Felis catus (domestic cat). It matches the Rfam family "tRNA". From Rfam's summary of the family: Transfer RNA (tRNA) molecules are approximately 80 nucleotides in length. Lineage: Eukaryota; Metazoa; Chordata; Mammalia; Carnivora; Felidae. The record is from Rfam by way of RNAcentral.
GCCUGGUUGGCUCAGUCAGUUAAGCGUCUGACUUGGGCUCAAGUCAUGAUCUAAUGGUUUGUGGGUUCGAGCCCCACAUCAGUCU